Molecule: ribosomal RNA, 619 nt
Filed under: Papiliotrema laurentii
Lineage: Eukaryota; Fungi; Basidiomycota; Tremellomycetes; Tremellales; Rhynchogastremaceae
Description: eukaryotic LSU rRNA
Rfam family: Eukaryotic large subunit ribosomal RNA
Source: RNAcentral
AUAUCAAUAAGCGGAGGAAAAGAAACUAACAAGGAUUCCCCUAGUAACGGCGAGUGAACCGGGAAGAGCUCAAAUUUGAAAUCUGGCGUCCUCAGGGCGUCCGAGUUGUAAUCUAUAGAGGCGUUUUCCGUGCCGGACCGUGUCCAAGUUCCUUGGAACAGGAUAUCAAAGAGGGUGACAAUCCCGUACUUGACACGACGACCGGUGCUCUGUGAUACGUCUUCUACGAGUCGAGUUGUUUGGGAAUGCAGCUCAAAAUGGGUGGUGAGUUCCAUCUAAAGCUAAAUAUUGGCGAGAGACCGAUAGCGAACAAGUACCGUGAGGGAAAGAUGAAAAGCACUUUGGAAAGAGAGUUAAACAGUACGUGAAAUUGUUGAAAGGGAAACGAUUGAAGUCAGUCGUGACCGAGAGGCUCAGCCGGUUCUGCCGGUGUAUUCCCCUCGGUCGGGUCAACAUCAGUUUUGUCCGGUGGAUAAGGACGGUAGGAAGGUGGCACCCUCGGGUGUGUUAUAGCCUGCCGUCGCAUACAUCGGGUGAGACUGAGGAACGCAGCUCGCCUUUAUGGCCGGGGUUCGCCCACGUCCGAGCUUAGGAUGUUGACAUAAUGGCUUUAAACGAC